GUGGGGAAUAUUGCACAAUGGGCGAAAGCCUGAUGCAGCGACGCCGCGUGAGGGAUGACGGCCUUCGGGUUGUAAACCUCUUUCAGCAGGGACGAAGCGCAAGUGACUGUACCUGCAGUAGAAGCACCGGCUAACUACGUGCCAGCAGCCGCGGUAAUACGUAGGGUGCGAGCGUUGUCCGGAUUUAUUGGGCGUAAAGAGCUUGUAGGCGGCUCGUCACGUCGGGUGUGAAAACUUGCGGCUUAACCGCAAGCCUGCACCCGAUACGGGCGGGCUAGAGUUCGGCAGGGGAGACUGGAAUUCCUGGUGUAGCGGUGGAAUGCGCAGAUAUCAGGAGGAACACCGGUGGCGAAGGCGGGUCUCUGGGCCGAUACUGACGCUGAGAAGCGAAAGCGUGGGGAGCGAAC
This 407-nucleotide ribosomal RNA is filed under the name uncultured bacterium. RNAcentral's name for it is "bacterial SSU rRNA". It matches the Rfam family "Bacterial small subunit ribosomal RNA", at positions 354 to 773 of the family's 1533-position model. The record is from RNAcentral.